AGUGAACGCUGGCGGUAGGCCUAACACAUGCAAGUCGAACGGCAGCACAGUAAGAGCUUGCUCUUACGGGUGGCGAGUGGCGGACGGGUGAGGAAUACAUCGGAAUCUACUUUUUCGUGGGGGAUAACGUAGGGAAACUUACGCUAAUACCGCAUACGACCUACGGGUGAAAGCAGGGGAUCUUCGCACCUUGCGCGAUUGAAUGAGCCGAUGUCGGAGUAGCUAGUUGGCGGGGUAAAGGCCCACCAAGGCGACGAUCCGUAGCUGGUCUGAGAGGAUGGUCAGCCACACUGGAACUGAGACACGCACCAGACUCCUACGGGAGGCAGCAGUGGGGAAUAUUGGACAAUGGGCGCAAGCCUGAUCCAGCCAUACCGCGUGGGUGAAGAAGGCCUUCGGGUUGUAAAGCCCUUUUGUUGGGAAAGAAAAGCAGCAGGUUAAUACCCCGCUGUUCUGACGGUACCCAAAGAAUAAGCACCGGCUAACUUCGUG
Molecule: ribosomal RNA, 492 nt
Filed under: uncultured bacterium
Lineage: Bacteria
Description: partial 16S ribosomal RNA
Rfam family: Bacterial small subunit ribosomal RNA
Source: RNAcentral